UACGUAGGGUCCGAGCGUUAAUCGGAAUUACUGGGCGUAAAGCGUGCGCAGGCGGUUUUGUAAGCCCGAUGUGAAAGCCCCGGGCUUAACCUGGGAAUGGCAUUUGGGACUGCAAGGCUGGAGUACGGCAGAGGGAGGUGGAAUUCCACGUGUAGCAGUGAAAUGCGUAGAGAUGUGGAGGAACACCGAUGGCGAAGGCAGCCUCCUGGGCUAGUACUGACGCUCAUGCACGAAAGCGUGGGGAGCAAACAGG
This 253-nucleotide ribosomal RNA is filed under the name uncultured bacterium. RNAcentral describes it as "partial 16S ribosomal RNA". It matches the Rfam family "Bacterial small subunit ribosomal RNA", at positions 524 to 776 of the family's 1533-position model. The record is from RNAcentral.